Molecule: long non-coding RNA, 400 nt
Filed under: Lathyrus oleraceus (garden pea)
Lineage: Eukaryota; Viridiplantae; Streptophyta; Magnoliopsida; Fabales; Fabaceae
Description: Pisum sativum (pea) long non-coding RNA (PSAT_LNC024382)
Source: RNAcentral
AAAAUUGUAAUUGAGAGAAAUUUUACAAUUUUUCAGGCCAAAAAUUAUAAUUGGGAUAGAGUUUAUAAUUUUCCAUUCAACAUUGUAAUUUGGAGAGUUGCAAUUUUCUGCUUACAAAUUGAAAUUGUACGAUAAAGUUUGUAAUUUUCCGUUCAAAAUUGUAAUUUGGAGGGUUUUUGGGUUUUUGUUUAAUUUUUUGUUUCUUUUUCUUUUUUGUGGGUAUGCUUACGCGUGCUUAGGAAUUUGUUUUUUUUGUUUUUAUUUUCCUAAUAACUAAUAUCAGAGUCAGGUUCCGAUCAAGGGAGGAAGGAAGAGCCCAAAAAAAUUAUGAUCAAGUAAAAAAGGAAGAGUAACAAAAAAGAAUUUGAUCUAAGGGAUGAAGAAGACCAAAAGAUUGAAG